This 253-nucleotide ribosomal RNA is filed under the name uncultured bacterium. Its description in RNAcentral is "partial 16S ribosomal RNA". It matches the Rfam family "Bacterial small subunit ribosomal RNA", at positions 524 to 776 of the family's 1533-position model. The record is from RNAcentral.
UACAGAGGUCCCAAGCGUUGUUCGGAUUCACUGGGCGUAAAGGGUGCGUAUGCGGUCGGGUAAGUCUGAUGUGAAAUCUCCAAGCCUAACUUGGAAACUGCAUUGGAUACUAUCCGGCUCGAGGAAUGGAGGGGAGACUGGAAUACUUGGUGUAGCAGUGAAAUGCGUAGAUAUUAAGUGGAACACCAGUGGCGAAGGCGAGUCUCUGGACAUUUCCUGACGCUGAGGCACGAAAGCCAGGGGAGCAAACGGG